GCGAUAAUACCAUUUCGGAGACCUUUGCUAACGAGCAGACUUACAGUUUUCCGUAUCCAAUGUAGUGCAGAGCUCGCCAAAGUUGGAAAUUAGCAUCGUGGAGUAAGAUCCAAUGUUCAAAUGGAAUUUGGUUCAUCUUCCUUGGCCCGAUCGUAGCCCGGCUUUGAACCAUAUUGAGCUUAUUUGGGACACUAUUGGGCGGAAAGUGAGCGAAAGGACACCCCUGUUCAAACACAACAUGAAAUAAACAAUUCCCUUCAUCAGAAAUGGUUGCUGCUACCUUAGCAACAAAUUAGUCGAGUUAUGGCAGGAAUCAGAAGACGUUAAGAUGCGGUUAUCCGUUUGAAUGGAGGCUGCGCACAAAGUACUAAUUCUUUGGCGUAUAACGAUCA
This 392-nucleotide long non-coding RNA is filed under the name Mytilus galloprovincialis (Mediterranean mussel). Lineage: Eukaryota; Metazoa; Mollusca; Bivalvia; Mytilida; Mytilidae. The record is from RNAcentral.